This 248-nucleotide long non-coding RNA is filed under the name Coffea arabica (coffee). RNAcentral describes it as "long non-coding RNA (CARA_LNC005430)". The record is from RNAcentral. Lineage: Eukaryota; Viridiplantae; Streptophyta; Magnoliopsida; Gentianales; Rubiaceae.
GCAAAGGGAAAGCCACUAACAGUAUAAAAAACUAAGUGCAUCACCGACCCCACAUCUAUUGUGAAACAUCCUCAGCCAUUUUCCUCACCUUCUCCAACAGUGGCUUUAUCUCGACAUCCAAAUGGUAUACCUCCUCAGUUGAAAUUUUACCGUCACAUUUUUCCAGCAUGGAUGUCAUAAUCUCGAGUUUCUGUCUGAUAGAAACAAGCUGAGAUCUCUCACCAGUGGUUGGCCACGAAGCAACUGGG